CGGACCAUUAAUUUAUUAAUGGUUAGUGGCGAAAGGGUUAGUAAUGGAUAGGUAACGUACCCUGUGCUUCGGGAUAGCGUCAGAAAACUUCGGUUUUCAUCCGAAAGGGGCGGUAAUACCGGAUAAUACCAUUUGUCGCAGGGCAAAUGCUCAAAGAUUUAUCGGCAAAGGAGCGACCUAUCUCCUAUCAGCUUGUUGGUGGGGUAAUGGCUCACCAAGGCUAUGACGGGUAGCGGGACUGAGAGGUUGACCCGCAACAUCGGGACUGAGACACUGCCCGGACCUCCACGGAGGGCUGCAGUAACGAAUAUUGCGCAAUGGGCGAAAGCCUGACGCAGCGACGCCGCGUGCGGGAGGAAGUCCUUCGGGAUGUAAACCGCUGUCAGGGGGAAGAAAGUACGCUUCGGCGUAUUGAUCUACCCCAAAGGAAGUCACGGCUAACCUCGUGCCAGCAGCCGCGGUAAGACGAAGGUGGCAAGCGUUGUUCGGUGUUAUUGGGCUUAAAGCGUGUGUAGGCGGAAGAGUAAGCGUCUUGUGAAAUCCCUCGGCUUAACCGGGGAAUUGCUGGGCGUACUGUCUUUCUUGAGGCAAGUAGGGGUGCAUGGAACUCUUGGUGGAGCGGUGGAAUGCGUAGAUAUCAAGAGGAACGCCAGUGGAGAAAUCGGUGCACUGGGCUUGUCCUGACGCUGAGACACGAAAGCGUGGGGAGCGAACGGGAUUAGAUACCCCGGUAGUCCACGCUGUAAACGAUGUCUACUAGGUUGUGGAGGUUCUGACAUCUGCAC
This 785-nucleotide ribosomal RNA is filed under the name uncultured bacterium. RNAcentral's name for it is "bacterial SSU rRNA". It matches the Rfam family "Bacterial small subunit ribosomal RNA", at positions 67 to 843 of the family's 1533-position model. The record is from RNAcentral.